GGGCUAAAUAAUAAUGCUAUAGUUGUUUUGUAAACAUAAAGCAUUCCAGGAAGAUAAUAUUGCUAAUCAACUGAGCUUUAAAACAGAUAUGAGGCAGGGCACGGAGGUUCACACCUGCACUCCCAGUAGUUUGGCAGGCCAAGUUUUGAUGGCUCUGGCAGAAAGACUUCCUGAUCCAAAUUCACCCCUUAUCAUCAUCACAGUAUAUACAUGUUCAGGGAUUAAGGGGAAAGAGCAUCCAAUCCUACUGCUUUCCUGCGUUGGUUCCCAUACACAAGUAAAUGUCCUGUGUUAGUGACUAUCAAAUAUUCAUUUAUUUGAUAAGGAAAUUUGUGUUUCCAAACUGUAAAACAAAAAUAUUACUA
Molecule: long non-coding RNA, 365 nt
Filed under: Pan troglodytes (chimpanzee)
Lineage: Eukaryota; Metazoa; Chordata; Mammalia; Primates; Hominidae
Description: lincRNA
Source: RNAcentral